This is a long non-coding RNA of Anguilla rostrata (American eel), 2260 nucleotides long. RefSeq lists it as uncharacterized. The record is from RefSeq and is a predicted model, not a curated record. Lineage: Eukaryota; Metazoa; Chordata; Actinopteri; Anguilliformes; Anguillidae. The transcript has 4 exons.
UGGCAGGUUAUGAGCAUGUCAGAACCAAGAGUCUGAUACAGAGAGAAAAACGCCAAGGCCUAAACCCAGGGGACCCCUGUUAAGAAUUCCCAAGGUCUCGAAACUACAUCCCCCCAUGAAUCUGGAAGGAGCGAGGUAGGAAGUAAACCAGCUGAGCGCUGUUGUGAAGAUUUCCAAGGUAGUCAGGGAAGACAGUAAGAGGUGAUGGUCAAACUGCCAUCUGAGACAUCCGAGCCUGCUGCUUUCUGAUACCUGCGUCAGUCAACUCUUCUGACUGGUGUUGUCUCUGCCCUUAUGAACUGUUAAACUAUCAAGUAUACUUUUUAAUACAUUUAAUGCUCCUAAGAGGCUGCACUUCAUGUAAGUGUUUUGGAGGCAUUCUGGAUGAAGGAGGCUGGGGAAUGGCAGCGGGAUUGAUUUGUGUAGCCGUGGUGGUUUUGAUACAUAAGGAUGAUUUAAACAAAGGUCUGUCCCUUUGGUACACAAGCCCACAUCAACAUAGCAGAGGCUCUCCAUGACUGUUGAAAUUGAUUUCUGUUUCCUGCCAAGAUUUCUGAAUUAGAGAGAUGACUGCCAGUAUGAGUCAGGAGGCAGCAAGGCCUGUUGGUCUAUCCCUACCACACACCACACUCCCUCAAGUAAAAAUCUCCCACGCUUACAAGAAGGAACUCAAUUUACAGCCUAUUGUUCUGCAUCAUCGGUUUUUAUGAACGGAAAAACAUACAGUUCUGUGCUGGUAUUGUGAGAGCAGCACUUUAAGCUAUGGAAAAAUAAACUGUGGGGGGAAGGAAAGAAGGGAAGGUAUUUUGUAAGUCAGUUAAGGGGUGUUUAUCGAGGAAAUAAUGAAAAAAAACCUAUGCAGAGUGGUAAAUAUUUUGACUGACUUUUUUUUCUCUUUCUGUAUAGUGUCGACUAUAGGCCUGCCUGUCAAUUGUGUUACCGGCUACUUUACAGUCAGAGGCGACACUGCCCAUGUAAGCCCACCUGCUGCAACACCAAAUAGACCUGCUUGGAGCCCUCAGUGAAAACUAGUUUAAACAGCUAAUGCAGUAUAAAUUGAAUCUGAAAGAUAAUGGAUGACCAGAGGGAAACGCACUCAGGAGAGAUUCAAUUCUCACCGAAGAAGAAUAGAUUUUCCCACUUUUUCCAAUACGGUUGAUCAGAAAAAUAGACUGCUUCUAUUUUCCCAUCAUUCCCAUCCAGAAUUUUGAUUUGUGACAAAUAUGUCUGUUCAGUUAAGUGUAAAAUAUUGCACUUAAGCUGCAGAAUGAAUGUAGCUGCCAGAGGUAGGCAGGUCAUUAGAUGAAAGUGACGUUAUGAGCGAUAAUAUGCAGAUAAGCACUUCCUAAACAGGCAGACAGCAAGCCGUCAAUCUUUGGGUCCUCACAAUCCUACACCGGUUCAAGUGUUGUAAGUGGAAAGUUUGCUUGCGGAUUUGAUAAAUGGUUUGUGCCGGUCCCUUGUGUUAGGACUAUGCAAGUUGUGUUGCCUCUCCGGAAGUGUAUGUAUGUAAGCUGGAGAAGCCACAGUUGGAGACGACAUGGCCAUCGUUGGUUGGCCUUACUGCAUACAGCCAUUGAGAGCUAUCCGGUUUAUUUUGAGUAAGCGGCUGGUGCAUGGACUGACCACUGUUCCUUUCUUUCGUUUGGUUACAUGUUGCAAAUUAGCUAGCCAGUUACCAUGAGUGAGCGUGCUUCCGCUCAUAGUAUAUCGCCUUAUUUUGAUAAGUAGUGCGCAGAGCUGGUUAGCUAGCUUAAGCAUUUCUUUUUGUUUUUUUGUUUGUUUGUUUUCAUGUCAAACCAUUCUCCCCACUCUAGCUUGAUCAGCUAACCCAGCUUUGCUUGACUCUUCUUUGUGCUUUGCCUGCUAUUAAUUUGAGGGGCUUGCCUAUCUGCAUGCUUUUGGUUUGCUUUAUGCUCCGUCUGGAUUGCUGUGCUUAACUAAUGCGUUUGGCUUGGCUUUAACUAUUUUUAUUUUCUUUUACUUUGCUCUGUGGAGUGUGCAGUGUGAUUUUUGAUGCCAAUUGCAGUGUGCCUUGUUGAAGUGUGUGAUAUAUACAGAUAUAUAUUCCCUUCUUUAAGCCUGCAGUAAACAAGAGUAAAGCACAAGCCUGCUGGGUAGUCUGUUUCCAGUACUUGGUGGAAAUUUUAAAUGUUGUGUAUGUUAUUGCUCACAAAACAUUUUAAUGAAUUGGGAAAAAUAAAGAAAGCUAACAUUUUGCUAUUUUUCCUUCCACAGCGUUACAUGAAAUUGAUAUCAA